This is a non-coding RNA of Potamilus streckersoni, 77 nucleotides long. NCBI's taxonomy places the organism in Eukaryota, Metazoa, Mollusca, Bivalvia, Unionida, Unionidae. The record is from the annotation of a GenBank genome assembly.
GACCACUCCAGUGGCCUCGUGGUUAGAGCGUCCGCCUCAAAUGCGGGAGGACGUGGGUUCUAACCCCGGCUGAGUCA